RNAcentral lists this ribosomal RNA (446 nucleotides) under uncultured bacterium. RNAcentral describes it as "partial 16S ribosomal RNA". It matches the Rfam family "Bacterial small subunit ribosomal RNA", at positions 338 to 795 of the family's 1533-position model. The record is from RNAcentral.
CCUACGGGUGGCAGCAGUCGAGAAUCAUUCACAAUGGGGGAAACCCUGAUGGUGCGACGCCGCGUGGGGGCAUGAAGGUCUUCGGAUUGUAAACCCCUGUCAUGUGGGAGCAAAUUAAAAAGAUAGUACCACAAGAGGAAGAGACGGCUAACUCUGUGCCAGCAGCCGCGGUAAUACAGAGGUCUCAAGCGUUGUUCGGAAUCACUGGGCGGAAAGCGUGCGUAGGCUGUUUCGUAAGUCGUGUGUGAAAGGCGCGGGCUCAACCCGCGGACGGCACAUGAUACUGCGAGACUAGAGUAAUGGAGGGGGAACCGGAAUUCUCGGUGUAGCAGUGAAAUGCGUAGAUAUCGAGAGGAACACUCGUGGCGAAGGCGGGUUCCUGGACAUUAACUGACGCUGAGGCACGAAGGCCAGGGGAGCGAAAGGGAUUAGAUACCCCGGUAGUC